Molecule: small nuclear RNA, 190 nt
Organism: Suricata suricatta (meerkat)
Lineage: Eukaryota; Metazoa; Chordata; Mammalia; Carnivora; Herpestidae
Gene: U2
Rfam family: U2 spliceosomal RNA
About the family: U2 is a small nuclear RNA (snRNA) component of the spliceosome (involved in pre-mRNA splicing).
Source: Ensembl
AUCGCUUCUUGGCCUUUUGGCUAAGAUCAAGCGUAGUCUAUCUGUUCUUGUCAGUUUAAUAUCUGAUACAUCUUCUAUCCGAGGACAACAUAUUAAAUGGAUAUUUGGAGCCGGGAGCUGGAAUAGGAGCUUGCUCCGUCCACUCCGCACAUCGACCUGGUAUUGCAGUGCUGUGACAUGAGAAUUCCAU